CCUUUCCUCUCAAGUUUAUCUUCCACGCCAUCUCUCCUGAACACUGUCACCCCAAUUCCCCUUUCAGAUCUCAGCCUUAAGAUCACUUCCUCAAUAAUUCGCUCCUGAAGCUAUCAACCAUCAUCCCACUCCCAGUUAAGAUGGAUUCCCUUCUCUUACACAGAUGCAGCAACUUAUGUCUUCUCUAUAUAUUUUGUCUCAUAUAUGUUUAUAAAUUAUUAAUGAAUUUUUUUCAUAUUUAUCAUAAACCACAGAUUGUUCUUGGCAGGCAGGCAGCAGUGUUACCUGUGGCAACGCCUCCCAUGCACAGCGCUGUCCCUGGUACUGGGCAGCCAAGCGGUACCACUGAGCUAAUACUAUUUACCAACAAUGUUGCAUUGGAGCCAUGGGAAAGAGAACUCCUGUGAGCUUAUAUUUCCUCAGGUGAAAC
RNAcentral lists this long non-coding RNA (430 nucleotides) under Fukomys damarensis (Damara mole-rat). Its description in RNAcentral is "lncRNA (ENSFDAG00000025195.1)". Lineage: Eukaryota; Metazoa; Chordata; Mammalia; Rodentia; Bathyergidae. The record is from RNAcentral.